GUUCAGCUGACCAGUCUGAAAUAUGACGAAACGCGCGUCUUGGAU
This 45-nucleotide non-coding RNA is filed under the name Schistosoma mansoni. The record is from RNAcentral. Lineage: Eukaryota; Metazoa; Platyhelminthes; Trematoda; Strigeidida; Schistosomatidae.